AAAAAAAAAAAAACCCACAAACAAAGAAACAAAACCCUAAGCCUAACCUAGAGACAUAGAGGCUGAAAGGCUGAACUGAAGCAGUGAAGGGAGAGAUAGUAGCAGCAGCACGGCAGCAGAAGAGCCACCGGACUCACCCCCAACCCCGACUCACCAGAUCUGGUUGAGAUUGCUAAAAACUUGUUAUUGUUCGGUGAAACUACAACAAUACUUUUUAUAUAAAUCAGCCCCAAAGCAAGAAAAACAUCUGUAAGGCACAUUGAAAAGAAAGAGAGAUAAGCCUAAGGGCUGCUAGCAUUGUCAAGCCAGCAACCACCUUUAGGCGGCAUCCCACCACCGUAAUACCACGUACCACAAUAGUAAAGAGAAGAACCAGUUAUGAGGAGACGUAAGGAAUAUAGAGAUUGUGGCUCAUGUUGAUCCUAGAAAGACAUCUUUGGUUGAUUCUAUUUUAAACAAGCAAAGGUAAUAAUUCUUAAUGAUUUUCCUCUACAUAAUUUGCCACAUUGAUUGGUUAUAAUGAAAUUUUUCUAAGAAAAUUGAUUUUCAUCUAGGCUAUAGGGUGGCAAUCAAUCAUAGGGUUACAAAGUAUAACACAAGUAGCCAACUACAAGUUGUCUUUGUUACUCUUUGUUCAUUAUUGUGAACCCUGUAUAUUUUUCCUGUUAUUCCUUUUUUUAAUAAUAUUUUCUUUCUUACCUUAGAAAAAAAAAAAAA
Long non-coding RNA from Quercus robur (English oak), 717 nucleotides. RefSeq lists it as uncharacterized. The record is from RefSeq and is a predicted model, not a curated record. NCBI's taxonomy places the organism in Eukaryota, Viridiplantae, Streptophyta, Magnoliopsida, Fagales, Fagaceae. The transcript has 4 exons.